GGGCCCGUAGCUUAGCCAGGUGGAGCGCCCGGCUGAUAACCGGGAGGUCCCGGGUUCGAAUCCCGGCGGGCCCACCA
RNAcentral lists this transfer RNA (77 nucleotides) under Thermoproteus sp. Its description in RNAcentral is "tRNA-Ile". It matches the Rfam family "tRNA". Rfam says of the family: Transfer RNA (tRNA) molecules are approximately 80 nucleotides in length. The record is from RNAcentral. Lineage: Archaea; Thermoproteati; Thermoproteota; Thermoprotei; Thermoproteales; Thermoproteaceae.